RNAcentral lists this ribosomal RNA (446 nucleotides) under uncultured bacterium. RNAcentral describes it as "bacterial SSU rRNA". It matches the Rfam family "Bacterial small subunit ribosomal RNA", at positions 330 to 792 of the family's 1533-position model. The record is from RNAcentral.
UCCAGACUCCUACGGGAGGCAGCAGUGGGGGAUAUUGCACAAUGGGGGGAACCCUGAUGCAGCGACGCCGCGUGGGUGAAGGAGCGUUUCGGCGCGUAAAGCCCUAUCGGCAGGGAAGAAGGAGGACGGUACCUGACUAAGAAGCCCCGGCUAACUACGUGCCAGCAGCCGCGGUAAUACGUAGGGGGCAAGCGUUAUCCGGAUUUACUGGGUGUAAAGGGGGCGCAGACGGCAGCGCAAGCCAGGAGUGAAAGCCCGGGGCCCAACCCCGGGACUGCUCUUGGAACUGCGCGGCUGGAGUGCAGGAGGGGCAGGCGGAAUUCCUGGUGUAGCGGUGAAAUGCGUAGAUAUCAGGAGGAACACCGGUGGCGAAGGCGGCCUGCUGGACUGCGACUGACGUUGAGGCCCGAAAUCGUGUGGAGCAAACAGGAUUAGAUACCCUCGUA